This is a small nuclear RNA of Rhinolophus ferrumequinum (greater horseshoe bat), 109 nucleotides long. The record is from Ensembl. NCBI's taxonomy places the organism in Eukaryota, Metazoa, Chordata, Mammalia, Chiroptera, Rhinolophidae.
AUGCUCACUUUUGGUGGCACUUAUACCAAAACUGGAAGGAUAUAUCGAAGAUUAGCAUGGUCCCUAUGUAAUGAUGAUAUCAAGUUUAUGUAGUGCUCCAUAAGUUUUU